GACGAACGCUGGCGGCGUGCUUAACACAUGCAAGUCGAACGGAAAGGCCCUGCUUUUGUGGGGUGCUCGAGUGGCGAACGGGUGAGUAACACGUGAGUAACCUGCCCUUGACUUUGGGAUAACUUCAGGAAACUGGGGCUAAUACCGGAUAGGAGCUCCUGCUGCAUGGUGGGGGUUGGAAAGUUUCGGCGGUUGGGGAUGGACUCGCGGCUUAUCAGCUUGUUGGUGGGGUAGUGGCUUACCAAGGCUUUGACGGGUAGCCGGCCUGAGAGGGUGACCGGCCACAUUGGGACUGAGAUACGGCCCAGACUCCUACGGGGGGCAGCAGUGGGGAAUGUUGCACAAUGGGCGGAAGCCUGAUGCAGCAACGCCGCGUGCGGGAUGACGGCCUUCGGGUUGUAAACCGCUUUCGCCUGUGACGAAGCGUGAGUGACGGUAAUGGGUAAAGAAGCACCGGCUAACUACGUG
Molecule: ribosomal RNA, 468 nt
Filed under: uncultured bacterium
Lineage: Bacteria
Description: partial 16S ribosomal RNA
Rfam family: Bacterial small subunit ribosomal RNA
Source: RNAcentral